This 495-nucleotide ribosomal RNA is filed under the name uncultured bacterium. Its description in RNAcentral is "partial 16S ribosomal RNA". It matches the Rfam family "Bacterial small subunit ribosomal RNA", at positions 28 to 507 of the family's 1533-position model. The record is from RNAcentral.
GACGAACGCUGGCGGCGUGCCUAAUACAUGCAAGUAGAACGCUGAAGGAGGAGCUUGCUUCUCUGGAUGAGUUGCGAACGGGUGAGUAACGCGUAGGUAACCUGCCUGGUAGCGGGGGAUAACUAUUGGAAACGAUAGCUAAUACCGCAUAAUAGUAGAUGUUGCAUGACAUUUGCUUAAAAGGUGCACUUGCAUCACUACCAGAUGGACCUGCGUUGUAUUAGCUAGUUGGUGGGGUAACGGCUCACCAAGGCGACGAUACAUAGCCGACCUGAGAGGGUGAUCGGCCACACUGGGACUGAGACACGGCCCAGACUCCUACGGGAGGCAGCAGUAGGGAAUCUUCGGCAAUGGACGGAAGUCUGACCGAGCAACGCCGCGUGAGUGAAGAAGGGUUUCGGAUCGUAAAGCUCUGUUGUAAGAGAAGAACGAGUGUGAGAGUGGAAAGUUCACACUGUGACGGUAUCUUACCAGAAAGGGACGGCUAACUACGUG